AUCUCCACAGCAACAGGAGAUUAUCUUGAUUUGGUGCACGACAUUCUGCUGCCCGUGGUAAUCAAAGACAAAAGUAAGCACACAUUGAGUCACUAAGAGGCCCGUUUUAAAUUUGCAGGUUAAGCAUUGUCAGUAUUUUAUAUCUCGGGAACCAGAGCAAGAAAAAGCUGGGAAAAAUACAGCUAUACAUCAAAUAUUCAACCACUGCAGAUGAAAGUAGUUGCAAGGUCCGUUUUCUGGGGGAAGUUUCUGUUCAAAUUGAGCAGAUACACACUCUGGUCUUUCAGAAUUACCAGGCACUUGAUGAAUAUUAAAGAUGUAUUGAAGCUCUACAAAUGGUUGCAUGAUAUUCUUUCACCCGAGGUUCUUAGUGAAGGCCUAUCAUGGAUGGUUUCUGCAGUGGAUGACUUUGGUACUUCUCAUAUUAAGCUGAAGCUUUAGGAAGGUUGAUAAAGUAACUGAUUCUACAUCAACUGCGGUGAGUGGUGGCAUCACUGGCAUGGAUGGUCUUCCACGUCAAGAUAUCAGUGAAAAGACUACCCCCCCCCCCCGUUAAAAGGCUUAGAGGGUUCUGAUUUGAAGUGUAGGUCCGUUUGGAAUCUAUUGAAAGUGUGACCAAAAUUCUGGAAGAGGCGAACAAACCUAUUCUGCCUGCUGGAACUGGAGAUCUAUUUGGAGCUCUAAAAGGGCGUCCACACGACAGUAACAACAUUUUUUUAUUAUUGCUACUUUGUCCACAAUCGGUACUCUUACGACUGCAAUGGACUGCCAGUUGAGAAGUCAGGCAAGGUACUCUCGUAUACUAUUAGUUAUACUAUUAUUAAGAGUCUCUUGCGCUAACUAAAUGUGAGUUACAAUCCCAAUAUUAUAAAUACUUGGGAUCCUUUAGAUAAUCUUGAAAACGUCAAACACAAUAUUUGUACUUUUAAAUCCCAAUAUUCAAACUCUUCUGUCAUGUACAUAGCUCCUGUGAGGCUUGAUCAUUUACAUGAAUGUGGCUCAUGCAGGGCAUUCUUUCAGAUGCCUUGAAAUGCCUUGAGUGUACAAUGAGAGUACCAAUGCUUGGUGCUGCUCAUCUCGAUAAAAUGGUCUGUAGUCAUUUUAGAAAAUAGUGUUUUUCGACUUCCUGCUUUGAGUAUUGUUAACCUCACGCUUGCUGAUGUCUUUAGCGUUUAGCUACCAUAUAUUAUUCUCUCAGACGCUGAAAUAGGCAUAGAAGGGCGCAGGGAUCUUUUUAAAUGGCUAUCAAGAAGACAACUUACUGGAUUGGAUAAAUAAGCAGAUGGUUGUAAAGCGGCUGAAGCAUGCU
Molecule: long non-coding RNA, 1309 nt
Organism: Salvia splendens (bonfire salvia)
Lineage: Eukaryota; Viridiplantae; Streptophyta; Magnoliopsida; Lamiales; Lamiaceae
Exons: 8
Source: RefSeq, a predicted model, not a curated record